This is a long non-coding RNA of Gastrolobium bilobum, 543 nucleotides long. RefSeq lists it as uncharacterized. Lineage: Eukaryota; Viridiplantae; Streptophyta; Magnoliopsida; Fabales; Fabaceae. The transcript has 3 exons. The record is from RefSeq and is a predicted model, not a curated record.
AGAGCAAAAUGAGAGAAAUGGAGGUUUUGAAUAAAAACCUUCCAAAAUUCGUAGAGAGAGCUAGAGACCUCCAAAUCACUCCGUUCCAAAGCCAAACUUGUGAGAAAUUUCGAGAGGAAUCCAUUGGUACCAGUAUUUCUGGGUGGGUUUCACUGUAGAGAGAGAUCUUCAUCAUCUAAGAUUUCGAAUUUCAUGGAUAAUGGUGAUUUUGAUGGAGCUUGAGGCCAUGGGAGCUUAGAUACUCAUCUCUCCUUUGUUUUAGAGUGCAUUGUGGUGUACCUACUGUGAACGUUUGGAUUCUCGUGGAGCAUGAUAAGUAGCUUGCUCUUCAAGUAAGCAAACUGUAAAGCUCCAAGAGGAACACAGUUAAUUGAAGAGCCUCAUGGGACAAGGACACUAACCGUGGCUAGAGGUACUAGUAUGAGGAUGUGGAGUUCUGGGUGGUCGGAUGCUACUAUUUGUUUUAGACGUAUUUUUGGAAAAGAUGUAUUGUUGCAUAGUGUUCAUAUUUGAUACAUGUACAUUUAUGUAUUCAGGCAUGAU